GUUGACCUCGGAUCGGUAGACCCGGUUG
This 28-nucleotide ribosomal RNA is filed under the name Schizothyrium emperorae. RNAcentral's name for it is "partial 28S ribosomal RNA". Lineage: Eukaryota; Fungi; Ascomycota; Dothideomycetes; Mycosphaerellales; Schizothyriaceae. The record is from RNAcentral.